Molecule: small RNA, 27 nt
Filed under: Bombyx mori (domestic silkworm)
Lineage: Eukaryota; Metazoa; Arthropoda; Insecta; Lepidoptera; Bombycidae
Description: ovarian small RNA-24556
Source: RNAcentral
UCAACACUACAACCUGACACGCGGCGC